UACGUAGGGUGCAAGCGUUGUCCGGAAUUAUUGGGCGUAAAGGGCUCGUAGGCGGCCAACUAAGUCGGAUGUGAAAUCCCCAAGCUUAACUUGGGAACUGCAUCCGAUACUGGAUGGCUUGAAUCCGGGAGAGGGAUGCAGAAUUCCAGGUGUAGCGGUGAAAUGCGUAGAUAUCUGGAGGAAUACCGGUGGCGAAGGCGGCAUCCUGGACCCGGCAUUGACGCUGAGG
RNAcentral lists this ribosomal RNA (229 nucleotides) under uncultured bacterium. RNAcentral's name for it is "partial 16S ribosomal RNA". It matches the Rfam family "Bacterial small subunit ribosomal RNA", at positions 524 to 751 of the family's 1533-position model. The record is from RNAcentral.